CACCUAUAAUCGUUUUAAUCGAUGGGGGGACGCAGUAGGAUAGGCGAAGCGUGCGAUUGGAUUGCACGUCUAAGCAGUAAGGCUGAGUAUUAGGCAAAUCCGGUACUCAUUAAGGCUGAGCUGUGAUGGGGAGAAGACAUUGUGUCUUCGAGUCGUUGAUUUCACACUGCCGAGAAAAGCCUCUAGAUAGAAAAUAGGUGCCCGUACCGCAAACCGACACAGGUAGUCAAGAUGAGAAUUCUAAGGUGAGCGAGCGAACUCUCGUUAAGGAACUCGGCAAAAUGACCCCGUAACUUCGGGAGAAGGGGUGCUCUUUAGGGUUAACGCCCAGAAGAGCCGCAGUGAAUAGGCCCAAGCGACUGUUUAUCAAAAACACAGGUCUCUGCUAAACCGUAAGGUGAUGUAUAGGGGCUGACGCCUGCCCGGUGCUGGAAGGUUAAGAGGAGUGGUUAGCUUCUGCGAAGCUACGAAUCGAAGCCCCAGUAAACGGCGGCCGUAACUAUAACGGUCCUAAGGUAGCGAAAUUCCUUGUCGGGUAAGUUCCGACCCGCACGAAAGGCGUAACGAUUUGGGCACUGUCUCAACGAGAGACUCGGUGAAAUCAUAGUACCUGUGAAGAUGCAGGUUACCCGCGACAGGACGGAAAGACCCCGUGGAGCUUUACUGUAGCCUGAUAUUGAAAUUCGGCACAGCUUGUACAGGAUAGGUAGGAGCCUUUGAAACGUGAGCGCUAGCUUACGUGGAGGCGCUGGUGGGAUACUACCCUAGCUGUGUUGGCUUUCUAACCCGCACCACUUAUCGUGGUGGGAGACAGUGUCAGGCGGGCAGUUUGACUGGGGCGGUCGCCUCCUAAAAGGUAACGGAGGCGCUCAAAGGUUCCCUCAGAAUGGUUGGAAAUCAUUCAUAGAGUGUAAAGGCAUAAGGGAGCUUGACUGCGAGACCUACAAGUCGAGCAGGGUCGAAAGACGGACUUAGUGAUCCGGUGGUUCCGCAUGGAAGGGCCAUCGCUCAACGGAUAAAAGCUACCCCGGGGAUAACAGGCUUAUCUCCCCCAAGAGUUCACAUCGACGGGGAGGUUUGGCACCUCGAUGUCGGCUCAUCGCAUCCUGGGGCUGUAGUCGGUCCCAAGGGUUGGGCUGUUCGCCCAUUAAAGCGGUACGCGAGCUGGGUUCAGAACGUCGUGAGACAGUUCGGUCCCUAUCCGUCGUGGGCGUAGGAAAUUUGAGAGGAGCUGUCCUUAGUACGAGAGGACCGGGAUGGACAUACCUCUGGUGUACCAGUUGUCGUGCCAACGGCAUAGCUGGGUAGCUAUGUGUGGACGGGAUAAGUGCUGAAAGCAUCUAAGCAUGAAGCCCCCCUCAAGAUGAGAUUUCCCAACUUCGGUUAUAAGAUCCCUCAAAGAUGAUGAGGUUAAUAGGUUCGAGGUGGAAGCAUGGUGACAUGUGGAGCUGACGAAUACUAA
Molecule: ribosomal RNA, 1462 nt
Filed under: Staphylococcus aureus
Lineage: Bacteria; Bacillati; Bacillota; Bacilli; Caryophanales; Staphylococcaceae
Description: partial 23S ribosomal RNA
Rfam family: Bacterial large subunit ribosomal RNA
Source: RNAcentral